This 500-nucleotide ribosomal RNA is filed under the name uncultured bacterium. Its description in RNAcentral is "partial 16S ribosomal RNA". It matches the Rfam family "Bacterial small subunit ribosomal RNA", at positions 29 to 523 of the family's 1533-position model. The record is from RNAcentral.
AUUGAACGCUGGCGGCAGGCUUAACACAUGCAAGUCGAACGGCAGCGCGGACUUCGGUCUGGCGGCGAGUGGCGAACGGGUGAGUAAUACAUCGGAACGUACCCUGUGGUGGGGGAUAACUAGUCGAAAGAUUAGCUAAUACCGCAUACGACCUGAGGGUGAAAGUGGGGGACCGCAAGGCCUCACGCAGCAGGAGCGGCCGAUGUCUGAUGAGCUAGUUGGUGGGGUAAAGGCCCACCAAGGCGACGAUCAGUAGCUGGUCUGAGAGGACGAUCAGCCACACUGGGACUGAGACACGGCCCAGACUCCUACGGGAGGCAGCAGUGGGGAAUUUUGGACAAUGGGGGCAACCCUGAUCAAGCAAUGCCGCGUGUGUGAAGAAGGCCUUCGGGUUGUAAAGCACUUUUGUCCGGAAGGAAAUCGCGCUGGUUAAUACCUGGCGUGGAUGACGGUACCGGAAGAAUAAGCACCGGCUAACUACGUGCCAGCCGCCGCCGUAA